ACGCAAUUCCCAUGCUCACCAGUUAUAGCACCAAAAUCCACCCUCUCUUCAAACUCACCUCACUCUCGUGAAUGUCCUUCCCAAAUCCUAGCGUGACGUGGAUGAUCCGCCGAAUCCUCACCACGAUCGAUUAGGUUAAACAGUUUCGCAAAGUUUGUUUUUUCAUACAGGCAGCGUGUGGUAAUUGGUUUGUUCCAAUUCUGAUAGGUGCACCUGACAUGGCAUUUCUGCGAGUCACGAUUUCAGUCCCCGCUAAAGCAAUUGUGGCCGUCUCCAUUCAUAACAUCUGCUCAGGCUCAUCCCGCGCUUGGGUACUUGACUUUGACUACGCUAUUCAAAGCAAUCUACCCUCCAAUUUUUGCACUGCUUUCGGUUGAUGGCUAUUAUGCCUAUUCCUGCUCAAACUCAAACUCAUAAGCCAAGACUCCUAUUCCGGGUAGUGUGUUUGAUAGUCCUUUGCUCUUUACAAACCCCUGACUCGUUCAUUCACUCGCUUGGAUUCAGUGUCGUUCGCUUGUGAAACCGUAGCGUAGGCGAAACCUGGCAGCCCGCCCAGAACCAGAGUUUGACCUUCUCCGGCCCUGGUAGGAAACCCCACUUUCCUUCCCCCAGCAGGCAACAACACUGGGAGAAAGACGAUCAGGAUCUCACGUGUUG
Molecule: long non-coding RNA, 657 nt
Filed under: Gossypium barbadense (sea-island cotton)
Lineage: Eukaryota; Viridiplantae; Streptophyta; Magnoliopsida; Malvales; Malvaceae
Description: long non-coding RNA (GBAR_LNC002289)
Source: RNAcentral